Non-coding RNA from Paenibacillus sp. DMB20, 170 nucleotides. Lineage: Bacteria; Bacillati; Bacillota; Bacilli; Caryophanales; Paenibacillaceae. The record is from Rfam.
AGGGCCGCGAGGCGGAAUCUGAAGGAAGCCGGAGGCAAACCCUCGGUCUUACGAACAGAAAUCACAUAAAAGGCAUGACGGGACGGACGAGCUGGCAAUCCAAAGCAAAGUCCAUUACUGCCCGAAUCCCAUCAUGUAGAUGUGGCAGGGAUGAGGGGAAGACUAUCGCU